Long non-coding RNA from Felis catus (domestic cat), 3167 nucleotides. RefSeq lists it as uncharacterized. The record is from RefSeq and is a predicted model, not a curated record. The transcript has 4 exons. NCBI's taxonomy places the organism in Eukaryota, Metazoa, Chordata, Mammalia, Carnivora, Felidae.
UCAGUGCGUCUGAGCAGGCCCACCUGCCAAGCAAUAUGUUCUCAAUCCCUCAGGCAGAGCAGUGCAUUGCUCGGCUAAGGAAAUGUCCCCCCACUGAGCAAAUGGCAGAGCCACGGAACACAGGCAACUGUGAGCGCAUGCGCACAGAAGAUCACAGACGCACGGCAGGAGGGGCGAUGGGGAGGGACAGUGAGGAUGUUCCCGUCAAGCUUCACUUCACAGUGACAGGCAAACGAUCUCACGGUUUUUCUUUCUUUCCUUUUUUUCUUUCUCUAAUGAACUACCAUAGGCUGCUAAUCGCAUACAUCAUUAACACAAGUGGCUGGAGGUUGGCUGUGGGAUGGCAGGCAGAUCGGUCGCCGAAGCCCAAAACGGGGAAGGGACGGGACUGAACGCUCAGGAUCACGCAGAAGGGGCCUGUCUCGUGGUGCUUAGGUGUGCCGGUGGAGGACAAAGGCAUAGUCUGAUGGACCCCUCUUUGCAGGGAGGGGAGGCAGCACACCGCAGGUCACUAGAGAAUGCAGCAGGUUCCCCGCACUGACUGAUGGGAGAGCUCCCCACCACCCUGCUUCUGCUGGUCUCCCGGAGGCGCCCCUAGACAGAGAGGCGGGCUUUGCCUUUUCCCUGGAAAAAGCAGACUUUUGUCAAGGCCGGGCACCGGGGCUUCCGGCUGGGAGUGCUCCGGCUAAUUAGGGAUAGCAUGAGGCCUGCGCUGUGAAGAAACCCUCGGAGGCACAGGACAGACUCCGCUUUCAGCUGCUGGGAAGAGGGGAGCGGGACAUGCUCCUCUCUGGGUGGGGAAGCUCUCUGCAGAUUAUGUAAUGAGGAACAAUGAAUGGCUUUCUCGCGGGCGGUGGAAGGACAGCGCUGUUCAAAGCAGUUAACACAACGUUUUUUACAAAGGCUGCAAUCUUACUCGGGAUUUUAGGUCAGUCCUCUCUAACCUCUUUCAAGAUCUCCAAACGGUUUUGUCAGGUCCUGAACCGCACGGAGUGGACGGUCACAACAGUUCUCGUCGAGGCCCACGACAGACUGCUCGCUUGUAUUUUAUAUGGCUGUGCUGAGCACAUGAGCUAGCACACGGGAGAACAAGCUCCUCGCACCUGCUGAUGGCGGGAGGAAGGCCAGCUCCCAGACAAAACAAGCAGCGGUUAGAUUCCGGUUAAGCCGAACGAUGAAGGAUCGUGCAGCCGCUGAAAACUAUAGUUUGGUUCUCUAGUGAGGAACGUUUCAAAAGCACCAGAAUGUAUCAACAGGAAAAAAAGCAGAAUAAUCUGCGAUAGUAAAAGGCACUGAUCUCAAGUAUACAGUUUGUUGAGUUCUGAUAAAUGUAUGCAUGCGUAACCUGUCUUCCUGCCAACACGUAGGACGUUUGCAUGUUGACUGGAUUUUGAUUCCUUUAUGACAGCAUUACUGAAAACCCACUAUUUUCCCCAUGUAAUAGGCCAUAAAUUCAAGUAAGAUCCUUGGACCAGAUCAAACAUUAUUUAUGUAGGAUCACUGCCAGAUUUUUUUUACUUAAAAGGGAUUUCGUGAAUCUGACAGUCUCACCGUAAGAGCAACAACAAAUACUGCAAUGGUAUUCCAACAGACGUCAGGCUUCAGAGAAGCACGAGGCGCACUCCCUGUACUCGAGGUACUUGAUGCCUAAUGGGGAAGGCAGAAAACAAACAACAAGCGUCCAUCCAAAGUACUCCAACUAAAGCAGUGAGCAAAUAAAUAAAUAAGCAUCCCUGACACAACAACUUGUCAAUGACAUUAUCCAGUUGGUGGACAUUAGCCAGAUGUCUUGGGUCAGAAUCGUGGACAAAGACCGUCACCUGAAGUUUCACUCAGCAACACUCAAUAACAGCGCAUGAUUAUUACAUACUAAAAAUCAAGAGGCUCCCAAAGACACUUAGUGACUGACAGCUUCAUCUCCCAGGCUUUUUAAAGUUCAUCAUGCAAACACAGACAGUGUGAAACAGUUAGUCUAAUUAAGCAUUUUCCUUAUCCUCCCCCAGCAGAACUGCGUUUGAGAUAAAGGAUAAUGGCACUAAAUGAACAGGUUAAUUAGAGACAGCAUUUACCCCCGCAGGCCCUUCACUGGAAACACCAUUUCACACCAUUACAUCACACAGGAGAGCCAGGCUCCAGGGACCAGCUCCUGAGACAGCCAGUGACCGGCAGAGAACGUAGCAAGUAGUAGAAAGGGAAAUCAAGUUGGCGUACCCAGUGUGUGUGCUCAGCCAGGAUGGCCCCCCAUAUUUCUCUAGGGCGUGAGCCCGCCAACUAGAGCUGCAGGCCAAAUCCACCCCGCGGUCACUUUUUGUAUAGCCCGUAAGGUUAGUCUCUGCAUUUUUAAGGUGUUGUUUAAAAAAACAGAAAAAGAGAAAAGAAAUCAAGAAAGAACGUAUGGCAGAAACCUGCGCGGUCACAAAAGCUAAUAUGUUCUCUCUGGCCCUUUACAGAAAAGGUUUGCCAAGCCAUUGUCUCGGAUGAUAGGAAUCAAGCUAUGUGCUCAAUACGAAAGGAAGGAGGGUAAAGAGAAUUGCAAAAUGUUCACAUGGGAGAUUUUUUUUUUUUAAACUCCAACCCUGUCACCAGGUGCCAUGCUACAAAUAUCUUAAGCUGAUGCAGAGGUGUCCUUUUGUUAGGAACAAAGCUUUCUCUCUGUGGCUAUCUAGGAAAAAAAGCAGCAGAAAUCUGAGCAACUUAUUAAUUCAAACAACUUUUUUUUUUUUAAAUAAGAAAACACAAACUUGUCUCCUCCUCCCUUCUCACCUCCCUCUUUCUCCAACCUAGUCAUUAUUUCAAGUUUGAACGUGUUCUUGUGAAAAUAUUAUGAUUUAAGGUAGUGCCUGCUAUCAUUCCAUUGGUUUUGGGGGUUUAGGACCAAGUUUUAAAAUAGGUUACAAGCUGAAACUUGGCGGAGAGAAACAGACACUCAGGGUAGGCACCAAUUGUAUGUAAUUUGAAAACAGCCGGUUUCGAAUUUGCUAAUUCAUAAGAGCUCAGGAAAGAAGGCAAACCUCAACAACCUAACCUAACUGCAAAAUACUUGCAUUCUGAAUAUAGCCCAGCGCCCAUUCAGAAUCUGUCAUUAAUUCAGCCGAUGUUUUUCUUCCCAGAAUAAUAAAUACUUUCUUCAAUUGAAAUGUGGGAUCAUUACAAAUAAAAAUAUUGCU